CUCAGGUCUCCUCCGAGCCUUUUCUUCUCCAGGCUGAACAGCCCCAGCUCUCUCAGCCUGUCCUCGUAGGGAAUGUGUCCCAUCCCUUGGAUCAUUUUUGUGGCCCUCCUCUGGACAGGCAUCAACAGGUCCAUUUCUCUCCUGAGGAGUACUGAGGACUUCACAUCUGGAUGCAGUACUCCAGGUGAGGCCUCACCAGCACAGAGGGGCAGGAUCACCUCCCUCGCCCUGCUAGCCACACUGCUUUUGAUGCAGCCCAGGAUACGGUUGGCAUUCUGGGCUGUGAGGUCACAGUACUGGCUCACAUCCAGCUUCCCAUCCAUUGGUACCCCCAGGCCCUUUUCAACAGGGUUGUGCUCAAUUCUUUUGUCCCCCAGCUUCUAUUGACAGUGGAGGAGUGCCACAACUCAGGUUAAAGACCUUGCACUUGGAUUUAUUGAGCCUUAUGAGGUUCCCUUGGGUCCACUGCUUGAGCCUGUGUAGGUCUCUCCAGGUGGCAUUUCAUCCCUCAGGCAUGUUGCCUUAUGAUAGCUUCCAGGAGGAUCAAUUUCAUGAUGUUCCUUGGCACAGAGGUGCAGCUGACAGAUCGGCAGUUCCCCAGGAGUUGGAGGGCUGCUGAAUAAUUUCUCACUGCCUAUUAUUCAUUGUCAUCAGAGGAGCUACUCCUAAACAAAGGUCUUUAACCCUUGCGAAGUUAUCAAGCAUUUCUACUCAACAAUAUAACAAGGAACUCCUUCUGAGAAAUCCAGAACCUAGAAGGCACUGAAGACCUACAGAGAACACAAUUAUUUGUCCCUAAGCGCGUGCUUCUGCUGGCCCUUAGGGUUCUGUGGUUUUUGUUUUGUUUUAACGCCAAAAAAUGUAAAUUAGGAGCUUCUUGGAGAUGCGGCAGAAGAUAAACAAUGGGUCCGUGAUUCUCCAUUCUCUUUGGUCAGCCACCUUGCAAUUUGCAAACACACUGAAUUCUUGGUUUGGUCAUUUUUACUGAACGUUUGUAGCCAAUUCAUGAAAGCUGUUUUCAGCAAUACAUAAAUAAAAGAAAGGGAAUCAGAUUCUAAUAAUUAGAAGUUGCAUUUCAUUUCUUCUGUGUCAUAAGGAUGAGGGAAAA
Long non-coding RNA from Numida meleagris (helmeted guineafowl), 1108 nucleotides. RefSeq lists it as uncharacterized. Lineage: Eukaryota; Metazoa; Chordata; Aves; Galliformes; Numididae. The record is from RefSeq and is a predicted model, not a curated record. The transcript is spliced from 3 exons.